UUUCCAGACUUAGCUAAUUUUUUAGCAUUUUCAGCCUUCGUCCGUUUUCACUCCGUUUUCGCUCGUUUUCGCUCGUUUGACCUCCAAUUUAUUUCAAAUCGAACCGAGACUCUCCAAACAUGUUUUCAUCAUCUUUUCAUCCACGUUAAUGCUGGAUUUAGUCCACGGUUCAACAUAGCCUUUCGGGUUCCGUUUUCGCACCCUAUGCGCACC
RNAcentral lists this long non-coding RNA (213 nucleotides) under Ananas comosus (pineapple). Its description in RNAcentral is "long non-coding RNA (ACOM_LNC023483)". Lineage: Eukaryota; Viridiplantae; Streptophyta; Magnoliopsida; Poales; Bromeliaceae. The record is from RNAcentral.